This 2064-nucleotide long non-coding RNA is filed under the name Cricetulus griseus (Chinese hamster). Its description in RNAcentral is "lncRNA (ENSCGRG00015029557.1)". The record is from RNAcentral. Lineage: Eukaryota; Metazoa; Chordata; Mammalia; Rodentia; Cricetidae.
ACCGCCGCCUUGGACAUGUCACCCCAUGAUUGGCUGCAGCUCAUCCGGCCAUAUGACGCCACGGAAUAGGCAGAGAUCAAGGAAUGGAAAUUUACCCAGCGCCUGCGCAAUAAUCUUGUUUACAUUCGGUGCCUGCCGGAUGCAGGCGCCAUCUUGUAAUGGAGAAUGCAGGGACGGCUCCCUACAGAUCCCCCUUUUUUUAUUAAUUAAUGAUAAGGCUUUAUAUUUUUACAAGCAAAUAGGUCACCCAUAUGUUGAGGGAUAGAGGCAGAGGUUGAACCUUCCCAAAAUCAAACAUUAAGACUGUGUACGGGAGUCGCAACUAGGCUGUUAGCUUGACCCGAAGCACUCUCGACCUGUCCUCUGCCGUUUUUCUGGGAAAGGGGAUUCUCAAGGCAGGUAACCCUUAUGCAGGUCAACGUACCUCCCAGAGAAGCCUGUAUAAUAGGCAACUCUGUGCGAUGCCUAUGCUCAGCAUCCCUCUUUUUGGGGCUGCACAAACCAGACACUCUACCCUGUGCAGUGAGCCUAGGCUCCGGGUGUGCAAGAGCUGUCUGGCCGGCGGCCUAUCGCUUAGUAGCCAAAAAUAUAAGCGCUUGGGUGAUCUCUUGGUUUGAGCCCUGGAGCUUACAUGCCAGUCAAAAGUAACAGCAAUCCAUAAGCGGCUGUAUCGAACAAUUACACCCACCCCUUUUCUCACAGGCCAGCCAAAAAACGGCUGUAUCGAACAAUUAUACCCACCCCUUUUCUCACAGACCAGCCAAAAAUAACAGCAAUCUGUAAACGGCUGCAUCGAACAAUUACCCCCACCCCUUAAGUAGAGACAAUCGCUCCGCCAAGGACAGGAGUUAAUCUGGAUAACAAUAGAGGCUCUCAACUCCCGGGGGUAGAGGGUGGAGUUUCGACUUUUGAAGGUCUGUAGAGGCUCUUUAGGUUGAAUCUUUUUGGGAUCCAUAGGGGAUUCUCUUCAUCCUGUGAGAAAACACAAUAUCGCUCCCCUGGAUCUUAUGAGAAUAGGAUCCGGGCCUUUCCAAAAAUCAGUUAAGAUAUCUUUCCAUUUUACCAUUUCCUUUUGGCCUUUUAGUUUUUGAGGUGAGACGCUUGGCCUCGGUAUGGCCCCCAGCGUUAAUGUAAAUGAGGCUUUAAAGCCCCAGGCAUUCCAGGCCUUUAAGAAGUGUUGAAUAGCAGGCAUGGCCUUUUCCCCUAUCAAAGACUGGGAAAGCCAUCUGUAAUUUUCUUUGCUCCUCUGAUGGUAAGAAGGAGUCGGUUCCAAAUAGUGGGGGUGCUGAUGGAAGCACACCCGCUGGCAUUUUUGGCAGCCGAUAUCUAUCGGGGUGGUAUCGUGCUGCUUCUUUCUCUAGCUCUGCUUCCUUGUUAGAGUCUAAAAUCUCAGAGUCUGAGCUGCUCAGCUCCAAGGCUUCCAGUUUCGUUGUAGGGCAGCUUCUAAAUUUACCGGGGUGUGACCGGCCAUUCCCCAUUCUUUCUCCCUCCUUUUUUGUCUCUCCCUCAUCUAGCUGAGCUGUUUCUUUUAAAACUUUAUCUCUUGAGCUUUUAGAGUUAUCAGAGCUAUCAAGAUUUAAAGCUUUAUACACUCCCUUGUCAGUAGACAUUCCAGGAGGUCCUUUUUUCUUAUAUUUUAUUGUUAGGCGCGCCCCAUCUCUCAUUACAUUCGGUUUCUGAUAUGUAAUUCUGGACUUCUUUAAGAUUGCUGUAACAGUGAGAAAAGUCAAAAUAGCUCCUAGUAAAAGCAUAGAAGCCUCUAUAUUAACCUCCCACAAUAGCAACAUUCCCAAGCCAAAGUCCAGAAAAAUCAUACCUCUCCGAAUUUACCACCCUGCAGUUCUGAAUCCGCCUCGUUAGAGGGGUCUCCGAGGUGCUGGAAAUGUUCACAUGUUCCCGGGUUUCGGCACCAUAUGUCCCGCGCGCUCGCUCUGUAUUUCUCGCCAGCAAGAAAUCAUACGCAGGACACUCGGAUCCUUCUGCAGGAAAGCUUUAAUGCGUCUUGAGAGGAGAGCAUAAGCUUACCAGAGCGGAGACCCUGAACCAAGAAGCCCGUCCCCUAAU